Lycium barbarum (goji berry) is the source of this 5499-nucleotide RNA transcript. It is a transcript of the gene named pentatricopeptide repeat-containing protein At1g74600, chloroplastic, with no coding region annotated. The record is from RefSeq and is a predicted model, not a curated record. Lineage: Eukaryota; Viridiplantae; Streptophyta; Magnoliopsida; Solanales; Solanaceae. The transcript is spliced from 2 exons.
AGGUUGAUACGCAUGUGGCAAUAAAUCCAUCAUUAUUGAUUUAAUUGUUUGAUUUUCUAAGCACUUUUAUAUUUUAAGUAUGUUGCUGUACAAUAAUUUCAUUUGCUCCCUCUAAUGGGUUGAUACGCAUGUGGUAAUGAAUCCAUCAUUAUGGAUUUAAUUUUUUGAUUUUCUAAGCACCUUUUUUUUAACAUUAUUUGUUUUUUUAAUAUGGAAUUCACUUUUUUUUUUAAUAUUGUUUGAUUUUGUUAAUAUGGGAUCCACUUUGUUUACCCCCCAUGAGUUUGAAUGUGGUGGGUUCUAUUUUUUUUCCCAUGAGUUUGCAUGUGCCGGGUUCUACUUUUUUUUUUUAAUAUGAGUUUUUUUUUUGUAUGUUGUUGUACAAUAAUUUCAUUUACUCCUGCUAAUAGGUUGAUACGCAUAUGACAAUAAAUUCAUCAUUAUUGAUUUAAUUGUUUGAUUUUCUAAGCAUUUUUUUUUAACAUUGUUUGUUUUUUUAAUAUGGAAUUCACUUUUUUUUUUUUAAUAUUGCUUGAUUUUGUUAAUAUGAGAUCCACUUUUUUUCCCCCAUGAGUUUGAAUGUGGUGGGUUCUCCUUAAUGGUUGGUGUUUAAUAUGGGGCCCAUAAUUUUUUUUAAUAUGAGUUAUUGAUUAUUGAUUUAAUUGUUUGUUUUUCUAAGCACUUUUUUUUUAACAUUGUUUGUUUUUUUAAUAUGGGAUUCACUUUUUUUUAAUAUUGCUUGAUUUUGUUAAUAUGAGGUCCACUUUUUUUUCCCCAUGAGUUUGAAUGUGGUGGGUUCUACUUUUUUUUUUUUUUUUUUUUUAUUACUGGUUGGUGUUUAAUAUGGGGUCCAUAAUUUUUUUUUAAUAUAAGUUAUUGUUUAAUAUAUAUGGUCACAAUUUUUUUUUUAAUAUGAGUUGUUGUUUUUUUUUUAAUAAUAAAUAAUAUAUGAGCCCACCAUUUUUUUAAUAAUAAAUAAUAUAUGGGCCCACUAUUUAUUUAAUAUAUAUGAGUCCGGUUGGGCCCACAAAUGUAAAUAAAAAUACUACGGCUACUAUAUAUAAACCCGAAAAUAAAUAACCAUUCACAGCAAUCUCAGCAUAUUUCCCAUGAUCGAAGUUUACUAAUGAACUCUAUCAGUUACCAUAUCAGUUACCACCAACUAGACAACAAAUUCUCAGUUUUUGGACGCAAAUUGAUUUCCUUCAUUGCCUUUCUUGGUAGAGACCAUCACCCUAUUCAGUUCCUCAAUGAAUGCACCAAACCCACUAAUAAUAUUCACUCAAAACCCGAUAUUUUCCAUGCCCAUCUCAUAAAGAUUCAGAAUCUUGAUUCCAAUACACAUGUUGCAAAUUCUGUGCUUUAUUCUUAUUGUCAACAUUCAAGAAUGGACAAUGCAGCCAAGGUGCUUGAUGAAAUGCUUAACCCAAAUUCAGUUUCCUGGAAUCUGAUGAUUUCUAGUUCUAAUAAGGCGUUACGAUACCAGGAUGCUUGGAGGGUAUUUUGUAGGAUGCAUAUGUUGGGGUUCGAGAUGAAUAUGUAUACAUAUGGUAGUGUUCUUUCUGCCUGUGGUGCUUUAACAUCUACAUUGUGUGGUGAGCAGGUUUAUGGACUUGUGAUGAAAAACGGGUUUUUUUCGGAUGGUUAUGUGAGAUGUGGGAUGAUAGAAUUGUAUUCAAGAAGUUGUAGGUUUAGUGAUGGUUUGAGGGUGUUUUAUGAUUAUUUGUGUGAUAAUGUGGUUUGUUGGAAUGCUAUUAUAUCAGGGGCGGUAAAGAAUAGGGAGUAUUGGGUUGCGUUGGAUAUUUUUAGUCGAAUGUGGGGUGGGUUUUGGAAGCCUAAUGAAUUUACAAUUCCAAGUGUAUUGAAUGCUUGUGUUUCACUGUUGGAACUUCGAUUUGGGAAAAUGGUUCAUGGAGCGGCUAUAAAAUGUGGUCUGGAAACUGAUGUUUUCGUGGGGACUUCUAUUGUUGAUUUGUAUGCAAAAUGUGGGGUUAUGGAUGAAGCAUUUAGGGAACUCAGGCAGAUGCCAGUUAGCAAUGUUGUUUCUUGGACUGCCAUGCUAAAUGGUUUCGUGCAGAAUGGCGAUCCUCUUUUUGCCGUUCGAAUAUUUGGUGAAAUGAGGAAUAAAGGGGUAGAGAUAAACAAUUACACUGUCACUAGUGUGCUUACUGCCUGUGCUAAUCCUACUAUGGCAAAAGAAGCAAUCCAAAUCCAUUCUUGGAUUUUUAAGACUGGAUUUUAUCAGGAUCCAGUUGUGCAAACGUCUUUUAUCAAUAUGUACUCGAAGAUAGGGGAAGUUGCCUUAUCUGAACUAGUCUUUGCAGAGGCUGAAAAUCUGCAGCACCUAAGUUUGUGGUCUAACAUGAUUUCUGUUCUUGCCCAGAAUAGUGAUUCUGACAAGGCAAUUCAUCUAUUUCAGAGAAUAUUCCAAGAGGACUUGAAACCUGAUAAGUUCUGUUGUUCUAGUGUCUUGGGAGUUGUAGACUGUCUAGAUGUGGGUAGACAGAUACAUAGCUACACUCUUAAAACGGGGUUAAUCUCUAAUGUUAACGUGAGCAGCUCUCUGUUCACGAUGUACUCAAAAUGUGGUAGUAUAGAGGAAUCAUAUGUUAUAUUUGAGCUGAUUGAGGAUAAGGAUAAUGUCUCAUGGGCAUCAAUGAUUGCUGGUCUUGUAGAACACAGUUUUCCAGAUAGAGCUGUUGAAUUGUUCAGAGAGAUGCCCGUGGAGGAAAUCACUCCUGACGAAAUGACUUUAACUGCUAUCCUUAACGCAUUUAGUUCUCUUCAGGCCUUGAAGUCUGGCAAAGAAAUUCAUGGUUUCAUUCUUCGACACGGUGUUGGUGAGCUCCGCAUUGCCAAUGGUGCCAUUGUGAAUAUGUAUACAAAGUGCGGUGAUCUAGUUUCGGCAAGAAGUUUCUUUGAUAGGAUACCCUUUAAAGAUAAGUUUUCAUGUUCUUCCAUGGUAACUGGGUAUGCUCAAAGGGGUUAUGUGGAAGACACGCUUCAGCUGUUCAAGCAAAUGCUGAUGGAUGAUUUAGAUAGUAGUUCCUUUACAAUUUCUUCAGUUCUUGGGGUUCUUGCUCUUUCUAACAGAUCUCGCAUUGGCAUCCAAGUGCAUGCACAUUGUAUAAAAAUGGGAUCACAAUCGGAAGCACCGACAGGAAGUUCACUGGUGAUGAUGUAUUCAAAAUGUGGAAGUAUUGAUGAUUGCUGCAAAGCUUUUGAAGUGAUCUUGGCACCCGAUUUGGUUAGCUGGACUGCUAUGAUUGUAAGCUAUGCUCAAAAUGGAAAAAGGGGUGAUGCUUUGCAAGUUUAUGAGUUAAUGAGGAAUUCAGGAAUCAAGCCUGAUUCAGUGACUUUUGUUGGAGUUCUUUCUGCUUGUAGCCAUGCUGGUUUGGUUGAAGAAGGGUAUUUCUUUCUAACUUCAAUGAUGAAAGACUACGGAAUUGAGCCUGGUUACCGUCAUUAUGCCUGCAUGGUAGAUCUUCUCGGUCGCUCUGGUAGAUUAACUGAGGCUGAGAGGUUCAUUAAUGAGAUGCCUAUAAAACCUGAUGCUUUGGUCUGGGCAACACUACUUGCUGCUUGUAAAUUGCAUGAUGACGUUGAGUUUGGGAAGGUGGCAGCAAAAAAGAUCAUGGAGUUGGAGCCGAGUGAAGUUGGUGCAUAUAUCUCAUUGUCAAAUAUCUGGGCUAGUGCGGGCCAAUGGGAUGAAGUUUUGAAAAUUAGAGGUUCAAUGCGAGGAACUAGGAUAGCAAAGGAGCCUGGCUGGAGUUCUUUGUGUAAUACAUUGUCAGUACAAUAAAAUCUUUGCACCUUGCUCUUUACUGCCACCAACACAAAUAAAGUGGAUGAAGACUUGUACGAUGCAUACCUUUAGCGAUAUAGCAUCGUAUGUACCAAUCUUUUGACCUCUUUUACAUGGCGACCCUACGUCGAGUUGGAUAAUUUACCUAAAUUUUGGUCAUAAGGUGUUGAACCUUUGUUUGCCUGUCAUGGAAAGGUUUCCUUCCAUCAUAUGCUGUACUUUAGGAGUUGAGGAAGACAAAAAUGAUAGACGCUUAAAAUAUGUGGAGUAUUGUUACCUCCCAUCAAACCUCCACUUUUUCUUACAUUUUCAUGUUUCAAAUCAUGCAAACUCCAGUUCAACCCAAAAUGCCUAUCUUACGGUGCAAGACAGGAAGGUUGCUGCAAAGAGUAGUUUGAGAUUCAUUUUAUCAUGGAUACUUCAUUUUCCAUUCUGAACAAAUACUGGAGUUCCUCUUUUUUUUCUUCUUUUUUUUUUUCUUUUUAUUUAUUUAACGGGGUUGGGUUUGAGGAGCUAUGCCAGUCCAAUCUUCAAUUUCCUUAUUUCUUCUGGAAUCUACCUUCUUAUUUCCCAACCUUGCCAUUUUUCAUACUAUCUAAUUGGAGGUCAGCCAUGCAGCGGACUGUAAUAUACCUGUGCGUCUUGCUUCUUUUUCUUGUAUCACAGAUUAAACAAACCCCUGAAAGUAUGCUUCUUAUUUGUUUCCCUCGAGUAUCCUUUUUUUUUUUUUUCAGUGGAGGAAUCAAUGUCCAAUUAACUAAUUAUUAGGUAGGACUCCAAUGAAAGUACAAAUUCAGAUGUUUAACUUACCCGUGUUUGAAUACCAGGAAGAUUAAUCCAAGUCCUUGAAAAUAUUAUGUUCUUGAAUCACUGAGGUAUAGCCCCUAGUAGUACCGGAAGAAAAAAGAUUGAUGGAAUACACUGAUCAUUUGUAUUGGGAGUGCAUCCCUAGAGUUGGAUUUAAUGUUUUCCGAGGUUGAUUUAUUCAAAUUUCUCAUUUAGAUUGAAGAUACCAUGUGAGCUCAAAAGCUUGCUGAUCGGUGGCUAGAAGAGAUGAUCUUGCGAAAAAGAGAGAUUUGGUGGUGAAAAACGGGCUUUGAAGUCUGAUUAGAGGUCUGAGGCAUAUGCGGACAUGGUUUUGAGCACAUGAACUGAUAUGGAGCUAAAAAGGAUCACUGAUCACAUACGGCUUAGAAGUCUGAGUAAAAGUCGAAGAAAAAUGAUGGGGAUCAAGUACGAGGAUCAACUACCAAGCAUGCACAACGUCGGCCAAGAAAGCAAAAAAUGUUGAAAAAUUGGCCUGGUGCAGAGUGCACUCGGCGAGUCCAGCGGUGCAGCAAGCCACUUUGGGUCUGUCUGACAGAAUUCAAGUCUCUGGAGAUUUGGCUUAGCAUGGCGUGCCAGGCAGCGCACUAAGCCAUUUUUGGCCCUGUCCGGGUCCGUUUUGGUUUAGGAGAUGUGUUUGAGUCCGGGAGUGUUUUCCCACAUUAAAAUAUUAAAUACAUGUUGUACACAAUUUUCAAAUCAUAUUCUGGAGGUAUUGAGGAGACAAGUCGUCUUAGAGAGGAGAUCCAUUGAUGGCUAGAACGACGGCUAAAGUGUCAUCGAUCCUAAGCGUUCUUUUAUCUCCUCUUUUAUUAUGUUAGUUCUUAGGGUUGUGGUGCUAUAUGAUUGUUGUAGUUUGAUACUCCCUC